UGGAAUUUAGUUCUUCCUGACUCAAGUCCAAGAGCUUGAUCUACUGCAUCAUCUACAAGCACAAAUUGUUCACAGACUGGGUACUAAGAACUUCUGGUCUAAUGGAGAGAACAUCAUCUCCCUCCCUGUGAUUGCCUGCCAUUUAAAAGGGCUGAAAAAUCAGGAAUGGCUUCAAGGAGAGGGUGAUGCUUAGCAAUUCUAAGAGACAGAGCUUUGUCUUAUAGAAAGGAGCAGAGACACAUAUCAACUGGCUACCAAGAGAUACAGAGAGUCAAUCAGAAAGUACAAAGGACGACCCAGAAAUAGAACCACUCUUCAGAGAAAGAAGUAAGUCACAAAGGAUGCGAAGAGUAUGGUAGCCAUCGACCACUCCUGUGGCAUUCCCAAUCACUCCAAGUAGCUCAUUACAGCCCCUUUAAAACUGGAG
Molecule: long non-coding RNA, 427 nt
Filed under: Monodelphis domestica (gray short-tailed opossum)
Lineage: Eukaryota; Metazoa; Chordata; Mammalia; Didelphimorphia; Didelphidae
Description: lncRNA (ENSMODG00000048075.1)
Source: RNAcentral